AAGGCUGAGGCGUGAUGACGAGGCACUACGGUGCUGAAGCAACAAAUGCCCUGCUUCCAGGAAAAGCCUCUAAGCAUCAGGUAACAUCAAAUCGUACCCCAAACCGACACAGGUGGUCAGGUAGAGAAUACCAAGGCGCUUGAGAGAACUCGGGUGAAGGAACUAGGCAAAAUGGUGCCGUAACUUCGGGAGAAGGCACGCUGAUAUGUAGGUGAAGCGACUUGCUCGUGGAGCUGAAAUCAGUCGAAGAUACCAGCUGGCUGCAACUGUUUAUUAAAAACACAGCACUGUGCAAACACGAAAGUGGACGUAUACGGUGUGACGCCUGCCCGGUGCCGGAAGGUUAAUUGAUGGGGUCAGCGCAAGCGAAGCUCUUGAUCGAAGCCCCGGUAAACGGCGGCCGUAACUAUAACGGUCCUAAGGUAGCGAAAUUCCUUGUCGGGUAAGUUCCGACCUGCACGAAUGGCGUAAUGAUGGCCAGGCUGUCUCCACCCGAGACUCAGUGAAAUUGAACUCGCUGUGAAGAUGCAGUGUACCCGCGGCAAGACGGAAAGACCCCGUGAACCUUUACUAUAGCUUGACACUGAACAUUGAGCCUUGAUGUGUAGGAUAGGUGGGAGGCUUUGAAGUGUGGACGCCAGUCUGCAUGGAGCCGACCUUGAAAUACCACCCUUUAAUGUUUGAUGUUCUAACGUUGACCCGUGAUCCGGGUUGCGGACAGUGUCUGGUGGGUAGUUUGACUGGGGCGGUCUCCUCCUAAAGAGUAACGGAGGAGCACGAAGGUUGGCUAAUCCUGGUCGGACAUCAGGAGGUUAGUGCAAUGGCAUAAGCCAGCUUGACUGCGAGCGUGACGGCGCGAGCAGGUGCGAAAGCAGGUCAUAGUGAUCCGGUGGUUCUGAAUGGAAGGGCCAUCGCUCAACGGAUAAAAGGUACUCCGGGGAUAACAGGCUGAUACCGCCCAAGAGUUCAUAUCGACGGCGGUGUUUGGCACCUCGAUGUCGGCUCAUCACAUCCUGGGGCUGAAGUAGGUCCCAAGGGUAUGGCUGUUCGCCAUUUAAAGUGGUACGCGAGCUGGGUUUAGAACGUCGUGAGACAGUUCGGUCCCUAUCUGCCGUGGGCGCUGGAGAACUGAGGGGGGCUGCUCCUAGUACGAGAGGACCGGAGUGGACGCAUCACUGGUGUUCGGGUUGUCAUGCCAAUGGCACUGCCCGGUAGCUAAAUGCGGAAGAGAUAAGUGCUGAAAGCAUCUAAGCACGAAACUUGCCCCGAGAUGAGUUCUCCCUGACUCCUUGAGAGUCCUGAAGGAACGUUGAAGACGACGACGUUGAUAGGCCGGGUGUGUAAGCGCAGCGAUGCGUUGAGCUAACCGGUACUAAUGAACCGUGAGGCUUAACCUUACAACGCCGAAGCUGUU
This 1414-nucleotide ribosomal RNA is filed under the name Escherichia coli. RNAcentral describes it as "partial 23S ribosomal RNA". It matches the Rfam family "Bacterial large subunit ribosomal RNA", at positions 1552 to 2925 of the family's 2925-position model. Lineage: Bacteria; Pseudomonadati; Pseudomonadota; Gammaproteobacteria; Enterobacterales; Enterobacteriaceae. The record is from RNAcentral.